Molecule: transfer RNA, 70 nt
Filed under: Homaloptera parclitella
Lineage: Eukaryota; Metazoa; Chordata; Actinopteri; Cypriniformes; Balitoridae
Description: tRNA-His
Rfam family: tRNA
About the family: Transfer RNA (tRNA) molecules are approximately 80 nucleotides in length. Their secondary structure includes four short double-helical elements and three loops (D, anti-codon, and T loops).
Source: RNAcentral
GUAAGUAUAGUUUAAUUUAAAAUAUUAGAUUGUGAUUCUAAGGAUAGAGGUUAAAAUCCUCUUACUCACC